UACCUACGGGACGCAGCAGUGAGGAAUAUUGGUCAAUGGGCGCGAGCCUGAACCAGCCAAGUCGCGUGAGGGAUGACGGCCCUACGGGUUGUAAACCUCUUUUGUCGGGGAGCAAAUUCCGCCACGUGUGGCGGCGUCGAGAGUACCCGAAGAAAAAGCAUCGGCUAACUCCGUGCCAGCAGCCGCGGUAAUACGGAGAAUGCGAACGUUAUCCGGAAUUAUUGGGUUUAAAG
This 233-nucleotide ribosomal RNA is filed under the name uncultured bacterium. RNAcentral describes it as "partial 16S ribosomal RNA". It matches the Rfam family "Bacterial small subunit ribosomal RNA", at positions 335 to 565 of the family's 1533-position model. The record is from RNAcentral.